RNAcentral lists this ribosomal RNA (253 nucleotides) under uncultured bacterium. Its description in RNAcentral is "partial 16S ribosomal RNA". It matches the Rfam family "Bacterial small subunit ribosomal RNA", at positions 524 to 776 of the family's 1533-position model. The record is from RNAcentral.
GACGAAGGAUGCAAGCGUUAUCCGGAUUCAUUGGGUUUAAAGGGCGCGUAGGCGGGUUCGCAAGUCUGUGGUGAAAGCCUCCAGCUUAACUGGAGAAGUGCCGUGGAUACUGCGAAUCUUGAGGAGGGUAGGGGCGUCUGGAACGGUCGGUGGAGCGGUGAAAUGCGUUGAUAUCGACCGGAACUCCGGUGGCGAAGGCGAGGCGCUGGACCCUUUCUGACGCUGAGGCGCGAAAGCCAGGGGAGCAAACGGG